This 88-nucleotide transfer RNA is filed under the name Peptoniphilus lacrimalis 315-B. RNAcentral's name for it is "tRNA-Tyr". It matches the Rfam family "tRNA". Rfam says of the family: Transfer RNA (tRNA) molecules are approximately 80 nucleotides in length. Lineage: Bacteria; Bacillati; Bacillota; Tissierellia; Tissierellales; Peptoniphilaceae. The record is from RNAcentral.
UGGAGGAGUUCCCGAGUUGGCCAAAGGGGACGGACUGUAAAUCCGUUAGCUUAGCUUUCAGUGGUUCAAAUCCACUCUCCUCCACCAU